UCCGCCAGGGUACUACAAGCGCUAGCUUAAAACCCAAAGGACUUGACGGUGUCUCAGACCCACCUAGAGGAGCCUGUUCUAGAACCGAUAUUCCUCGUUAAACCUCACCAUCCCUUGUUUCCACAGCCUAUAUACCGCCGUCGCAAGCUUACCCUGUGAAGGACUAACAGUAAGCAAAAUGGAUAAUAUCCAAAACGUCAGGUCGAGGUGUAGCUUACGGGGUGGCAAGAAAUGGGCUACAUUUUCUACUCAGAAUAAACGAACGGCAUUAUGAAAUUAAUUCCUGAAGGUGGAUUUAGAAGUAAAAA
RNAcentral lists this ribosomal RNA (308 nucleotides) under Megalamphodus megalopterus (black phantom tetra). RNAcentral's name for it is "Hyphessobrycon megalopterus (black phantom tetra) partial small subunit ribosomal RNA". It matches the Rfam family "Bacterial small subunit ribosomal RNA", at positions 868 to 1344 of the family's 1533-position model. Lineage: Eukaryota; Metazoa; Chordata; Actinopteri; Characiformes; Acestrorhamphidae. The record is from RNAcentral.